UCGAACCUAUCGUGUUCCCAAAAGCAUAAACCAUCGAGAUCGAUGGAUCACCGGUUUCUCGAUGUGGGCUGAUUCUGCUCUUGAUCCCGACAAAGCAGGGUUCAGCAUUCUCCAUGAUCCCUCUUUCCAGCCAGAUUGAUCAUUCUUUGAAAAGAUAGAAAAGAAAAGGAAAAAAAAAGAGACUUCUUUGGGCCCUUCUUUUCGAUUAUUUCUGUAAUGUACGACGUAAUUCGAGGGCCAUAAUUACAAUAAGUUGGAUUCUCAAUCCUACCCAGUAGCACAAGAAGGAACAUACAUUAGUUUGUGAAGAUUUUGAGUCGUUUUCUAUUAUUCUUUGCAGGGAAUGGAACGUUCUUGUGAUUUCUGCAGGGCCGCGAAUGCAGUGGUUUACUGCAAUUCAGAUUCCGCCCGACUGUGCCUCCACUGUGACGGCUACAUCCAUUCAGCCAAUUCACUCGCCAGUCGACACUCCCGUUGGUUCUUAUGUAAUAGAUGCAGCUCUCAGCCUGCAAUUGUUCGGUGCUUGGACGAGAAGUUGUCUCUCUGUCAGAGCUGUGACUGGAAUGGGCUAGAAAUGGGAUGCUCUGGCCUGGGUCAUUCCCGGCGGGCCUUGGAAAUCUACACGGGCUGCCCUUCCCUGGCCGAGUUUCUCUACCAUCUUGGCAUCUGCUCUCAACCAGCCUCCUCACCCCAGCGAGUUAGGUGAAGGGUGGGGUCCCUCUGAUGAGUUGAGUUGCGUCUUCGAGAACAAGGGAACUGUGAGCUUUUAUGGAACCAUGGGUCGCAACGCGUUCCACAAGCAGGACCCAUGGUCGGGGCAUUCCACAGGUUUCACGUCGAACAACCAUUAUGUGCUAUUCUGCAAAGGUGAAGCUCCAUCCGCAUGCCUGGACCCGAAUCCCUCUAAGGUUCCAUUUUGUUGUUCGGAACAUUUCAAGAACCCCGGAAAUGAAGAUAGUGGGGCUGGUCUUGUUCCGAAUCUUGACAUAGACGAUUUCCCACAGAUGGGAAAUAGUAAAGAUGUUUUAGAUUGUGAGACAGAUGAAGUUUUGUACCAGUUUACGGAUGAGGAAUUGGAGUGCCUUCUAAUGGAGAAAAAUGGACCUACUGACAAUGCCAUAGAGGUUCGCUCAGUUUAAGUAUUUGGGCAUCGUCUUCAGUCCAACCCGAGUGCGCAUCAUUUCAACCUGCACGGAUUGGGAAUUUGAUUCUCGGGAUGCAGGGUGUGAAGGGCAGUAGCAGUACUACUGAUAACUGCAUGCUUACGAAUCCUCCCUACAGCAGCAUCGGUAUGGGAUUUCCCACUCCCAGCAUGUCCUUGCCACUGCACAACAUAACCGGGGAAAGCCAUGCUAUCGAGUACCAAGACUCUGGAAUAUCUCCAAUGUUGUUAUCGGUCAAAUCACCAUGGGACCCCAAGCCCGAGGGCAGUUGCCCGCAGGCAAGAGACAAAGCCAAGAUACGCUAUAAAGAGAAGAAGAACUAUUGGAGUUUGGAUCAGUCCUGCUGUGUUAUCUGUUGAAGACUCUGUCUGUUUGUUGUUUAUUACUGAAGUUAACGUUUUAGUGCAGUCAUGUGUUUGCAUGUUUUAGGCAGUUAUCAAAUCAUGUACUGGCAGUUACUUUCUGCCUUUGUGUUUUAUAUUUCUUGUGAAAGUGUAAGACAGUUACUAGUUUUUCAGUUGUAUCAAGAAGUUCUU
This is a non-coding RNA of Punica granatum (pomegranate), 1699 nucleotides long. NCBI's taxonomy places the organism in Eukaryota, Viridiplantae, Streptophyta, Magnoliopsida, Myrtales, Lythraceae. The record is from RefSeq and is a predicted model, not a curated record.